UGGGGAUGACGUCAAGUCCUCAUGGCCUUUAUGACCAGGGCUACACACGUACUACAAUGGCCGAUACAAAGGGCAGCGACACUGCGAGGUGAAGCCAAUCCCGUAAAAUCGGUCUCAGUCCGGAUUGGAGUCUGCAACUCGACUGCGUGAAGUCGGAAUCGCUAGUAAUCGUGAAUCAGAAUGUCACGGUGAAUACGUUCCCGGGCCUU
Molecule: ribosomal RNA, 209 nt
Filed under: uncultured Desulfobulbus sp.
Lineage: Bacteria; Pseudomonadati; Thermodesulfobacteriota; Desulfobulbia; Desulfobulbales; Desulfobulbaceae
Description: partial 16S ribosomal RNA
Rfam family: Bacterial small subunit ribosomal RNA
Source: RNAcentral